AGUUUGAUCAUGGCUCAGGAUGAACGCUAGCGGCAGGCUUAACACAUGCAAGUCGAGGGGCAGCGGGAUGUAGCAAUACAUUGCCGGCGACCGGCGGAUGGGUGCGUAACGCGUAUGCAACCUACCUUAUACAGGGGAAUAACCUUUCGAAAGGGAGACUAACACCCCAUAGUAUUGAUUUAAGGCAUCUUAGAUUAAUUAAAUAUUUAUAGGUAUAAGAUGGGCAUGCGUAUGAUUAGCUAGUUGGUAAGGUAACGGCUUACCAAGGCGACGAUCAUUAGGGGUUCUGAGAGGAAGGUCCCCCCACACUGGUACUGAGACACGGACCAGACUCCUACGGGAGGCAGCAGUGAGGAAUAUUGGUCAAUGGGCGCAAGCCUGAACCAGCCAUGCCGCGUGCAGGAAAGACGGCCUUAUGGGUUGUAAACUGCUUUUACAUAAGACUAACCGUAUAUUUGCGAAUAUACCUGAAUGUAUUAUGAGAAUAAGGAUCGGCUAACUCCGUGCCAGCAGCCGC
Molecule: ribosomal RNA, 517 nt
Filed under: uncultured bacterium
Lineage: Bacteria
Description: bacterial SSU rRNA
Rfam family: Bacterial small subunit ribosomal RNA
Source: RNAcentral